UACGAAGGGGGCUAGCGUUGUUCGGAAUUACUGGGCGUAAAGCGUGCGCAGGCGGCUUCUCAAGUCAGGGGUGAAAGCCCAGAGCUCAACUCUGGAAUUGCCUUUGAGACUGAGUGGCUUGAGUACGAGAGAGGUGAGUGGAAUUCCCAGUGUAGAGGUGAAAUUCGUAGAUAUUCGCAAGAACACCAGUGGCGAAGGCGGCUGUCUGGUCCGGUUCUGACGCUGAGGAGCGAAAGCGUGGGGAGCGAACAGG
RNAcentral lists this ribosomal RNA (253 nucleotides) under uncultured bacterium. Its description in RNAcentral is "partial 16S ribosomal RNA". It matches the Rfam family "Bacterial small subunit ribosomal RNA", at positions 524 to 776 of the family's 1533-position model. The record is from RNAcentral.